Molecule: ribosomal RNA, 253 nt
Filed under: uncultured bacterium
Lineage: Bacteria
Description: partial 16S ribosomal RNA
Rfam family: Bacterial small subunit ribosomal RNA
Source: RNAcentral
UACGUAGGGUGCAAGCGUUGUCCGGAAUUAUUGGGCGUAAAGAGCUCGUAGGCGGUUUGUCGCGUCUGCUGUGAAAACCCGAGGCUCAACCUCGGGCCUGCAGUGGGUACGGGCAGCCUAGAGUGCGGUAGGGGAGAUUGGAAUUCCUGGUGUAGCGGUGGAAUGCGCAGAUAUCAGGAGGAACACCAAUGGCGAAGGCAGAUCUCUGGGCCGCAACUGACGCUGAGGAGCGAAAGCAUGGGGAGCGAACAGG